AAAUCUUUGGCAACACAUCUGAAGACUCCAAUGAACUUGAAACAUUUUAAAGACAGAUUAAUACGAAGGGGCCAGGAGCAAUAAUGAGGCCCAGCGUUGAGCACUUACAUAAUGUUUGUGUGAGCAGAGAGUCAGGAAUUGCAUCAACAUGGUAGUUGAGGUAAUGUGUGCAUGCGUGUGUGUGUGCAAGUGUGACUGAAGUGAUUUGUAGAUGGCAGUCUGAUGACAGAUUAUAUGCAUACAAUGUUUCAGAGCAUUUACUAUUAGCACAUUUUAAUUGGCAGCCUGUAAUCAAGUUCGUCAUUAUAGUUAUUUUCUGGCUAGGUUCCCUCGUUCUAAAGCAGGGGUGUCAAACUCAUUUUCACCGGGGGCCACAUCAUUAAUACAGUUCCCUUUAAAUGGUGUUUAAAUGGUUGUAAAUGGAAGGCUGUAUAUAUCAAUCUCUGGUCUGUGGACCAGUACCAGUCCGCAGGUCAUUUAGUACCUGGCUGCAGUGGGACACAGUGAAAAAAUGUUAAAUGUCUUUGCUAAUUUACAUCAUUCAAAGACAAUCCUGGCAUAUUCAUUUACUUUCUUUAUUUAAAGAUAAUCUGGCAAUAUUUUAAAAUAAUAGGCUAUGUGAAUCUGAUACAAAGAGAAUAGAGUCUGAAAGAUUUUGACCAGACAUUGGAACAACAAAGAUUGGGGACCGCUGGUAUAGAUGUAACUACUCCAUAACGGACUAAUACAUGUUUCGGCAAUUGAUUAUCAUUUGAUUGUUUAAAAAAAUAUAAAUAUUUCUUUGGUCAAGAAACUCUGCUGCAUGGGAUUUACUAAAUGCUUUUUAAGCCCCCACGGGCCACACAAAAUGGCUUGGCGUGCCGCAUUUGGCCCCUGUGCCUUUAGUUUAACACAUAUGUUCUAAAGCAUAGUCCAAUUUUUUUUAUCAUCAUUUUCUGUGUGUAAUGAUUAGCAGUGACCAAAAGAAGAAAAAACUGAAGCCAUGGUCAGGUGUCACCAGUGACAUUUUUGUCCCAAAUACAGGUUAAACCUGUAUGUCUCUCUCUGUUAUUUUAAUGUACGUCACUAUACAGGUGCAAAAGUGAUUAGGUCAGCUGUUUAGCAGAUGGUGGUGAAAGAUGGUGAAAGGUGAAAGAGCUCAGACUUCUCAGCCUAAGACUGUGACAGAUAAUGUGUUGAAUUGAAUAAUCAAACUUUUCAUGCUGCCUCAUAUAUACUUCUCCGUCCUCAAUAACUGUAUUUUUUGUCCAUAAUAAUCGCUCGGCUAUUGUCAGUCAAACAUCAUUAAUCACAUUAAGUGAAGAGUGAGGCGGACAGCAGCUGUUGAAAAUGCAACGAGGAUUUGUUGGUCCACACCCUUUUCAUGCAUUGCAAAUUUUUAUUUGCAAGGCAUGAUGGGAAACAUUUCCAUAGCUCAAGUGGGUCCAAAUGGAUGUAUUGAAAAAACAUUCAACUAAAAGGACUAUUUGGCUGUGUGUGUUUGUUUAUGUAUCAAACAUCAGAGGCUCAAUACUACAAGGAAAUGUUUUGGAUGUAAUUAAACCUUUAAAAAGGGGAACAUAAAUAAAAAUGUUCUGCUUUUUUAACAAGCAAAUGGGGGAAAGAAUAUUUAGUUGUUCCACUAACAAAGUUAUUUGAGUCAAGAUCUUAAAAGUUCCCUGAUUAGAUUGUGCACCUGUGUAUGUGUGUCUCUCCUGGGUUAAUUAGUUCCAUCACCCUCACCUGUGUCCUGUGAUUCUCUGGUCAUCAGCCUCACUCGUCUCACCUGGUGCCCUGGGUAUAAAUACACCUCUCUCGCUCUCUCACUUCUUUUGUUUGGUCAUUGCUGUGUGUUGGGCUUGUUCUGUGGUUUGUGUGUAGUUGAUUGUGCUUCAUGUUUUCCUUGAGGUUCUGUGACUGUUCCUGCAGUACUCUGGUUUCUGUGAGUUGAGAAAGAAUUAUCUGAAAGAAACUACCUUACACCUGAUCAAAGUUCCUCUGAGUGCUGCAUUUAAGUCCUUUGUCAACCUCCUAUGUAACUCCUGGGUUGUGGCCCACCAAGAACUGUGCUUUUAGGUCCAUUCAACAAUAUAAGUUUAGGCCGCUAGCGGGAACAGUUGGUAUCUGAUCCAGAAUGAUUCAGAAGUAUAAUCAAAGAAAAAUGUCACAUGAUGGUUAAUAACUACAUACGUAAAAUGUUUAGAUCUGGUAAACAACAUAAGGGAAGUUCAGUACUUCUUUCUUAGAGCACAUAAACAAAUGACACAUGUACUGUACUGGUCACAGUGUGUUUGCUUCUGUUCUGUGUUGUUCAUCUGUCAAUCAGUCCCAAUGCUUGUGUAAGUGGCCCCGGGAGUGUAUUAUUCCCAUCCAUCCCUUUGCUGUCUGAGCGCUCCACUGCGUCUGCACUGUGAGAACAGGAUAACAUACAGGCUUCUACGGCCUAAUGUGCCACUCCAGCAAUUCUGGAAUGUUCUGGAAAAAUGGAAUAAGUGAUUAAAACUGGCGUCUUUGCCAAAGAUCCGUGACACAGAGGUCUUUACAUGUAUGGUUCCAGUUCUUUAAAUUCAAAUUGUCUUGUAAUGUACAUACAAAUGAAGAGCAGUGUAAGGCUCUCCUAACUCCAACCCCAGACUUUUGUGUCCCAUUUUUUCUUUCUGUCCAGACAGAGGCAGAGCAGUGGUGACUAAAAAAAGAAAGGAUAUUGUAUUUAAGGACAUGCCUUUAAAUGUCAACCCCUGGCAAUAGACAGCAAAAGCAAAAUAAAUAAAUAAAUCCUACUGUAAAUCUCUACCACCCACAACGUCUAUUUCACUGUCAAAUGUUUUGUCCUAUCGUGCUGUUUUACACAACAUCUUGUCCAGUUUGUCUUUGAGUUUGUCCUCAAAUCAAAAGCUAUGAAAAGCCAGAGUCAAAUUCUUUGCAUGUGCACUCACACUUGGCCAAUAAGGUUGGUUUUGAGUCUGAAAUAUUCUUGACAUGUUUCCAAGAUUGUCUCAUGUAUUCUCCCUUUUGCGCUUCUUCUUUUUCUUCUUAUCCUGACUACAGUUGUUCCCUUCAGGGGUCACCACAGCAGAUCAUCUCACCCUGCCUCCUCAGCACCACCCAUUAACCUCCUCUGAGGUCUUCACAUCCACAUUUUGUCUGGCAGCUUCAUCUCCAACAUCCUUUGUACAAUUUAUCCACCAUCUCUCCUCAACACAUCUCCACCUCUCCUCCCUAUCACAAUCAGUUUUUUUCUCAUUUCUUAAUUAACCCAAAAGUUGUACGGUGUGGCUUAUAAAUACUUGAGUUUUAGUAAAGUUGAUUUCCUCACCAAAAACCUCUAUAAACAGACAUCUGAGCUGUGCUGAUAUCCAGUUAGGAAGUACUGCCUUGGAGAUAACGUCCAAGCUGCUGUCUCACAUGCAUGUGUGUACAGCUGAUUGGCUUCCAUAUACUCAAAUAUGAGAGUGCAGUCUUCACACCUCCCUCCUUAUGUUUCACUGAAAGCAGGAGGUUGAUCCUAUUAGGACACGGUUAAUUUAUUUUACGUAGCAGUAGCAAGACCCUCUCUCUGUUGCCCCUCUUCAAACUACUUUAAUUGUAUCUAUUUAACACAGCAAGAUUGGAGCUAAGAGUGUGAGGCUCUUUGUUUUCCACAUGGAUGCCACAUUGGACUUUCUCCCUCCUUAAUCCCUUCCCUACAUCCCUCCCUCCUGCAUAAUCCUGUGCAGCAGUCCAAGAGCGGGGAUUAUACGAUGCUGAGAAUCUAAUGAUAAAGAUGAUGGAGCAGCGGCAGAGAGCUGCGGGUCACUACGUGAAGCACAUGGCGGACUUAUGCUCAAACACACAUGGAGAUUGCACGUGUGCAUUGCACAACACACAGAAAUAGAAUAAAAAUAUAUAAAAGUUUAAUUGAAAAUGUACAGACGUAGUAUAAAGCAGUCGUUUUAGAGAAAGCCAACAGUGAUGGAAAAAAAACUUUUCCAGGAUAUACAAUAGUCUUUUUGUUUCCACAUGAAAACAACCAAUGAGUUCCGCUUCAUUUGUGACCCAGACUUGAAGGCUUCAUUUUUAUACCCAAGUCUCAUCCUGCAGUAGGAGGAGUGAGACAGUCUGUAAGGACUUCAGAUGGGGAGACUUCCAUGACUGGACUGGAAUGUUUGACCAAGCUUAGACACAGUCAAUUCCAGGCCUCUAGGCCAAAGACAGAGUUUUUCCUUCAUGCUAGAUAAUUGUGGCUGCACAACAUGAAAAAAAUAAAUCAAUAUAUUACAAAUGUUGGACAUCAACAAUAAAACAAAAUAUUAAACUCUUGCAUCUGGCUAAAAAACGGAGCAUGUAGCUUCAAAUGUUUCUGGAAUACCAUCCUUUUUUUAAUAUUAUAAAAUACAUCAAUUAAAAAUAUUUUCAACCAAAAGGUAUGUUUUAUAUGGGUAAUAGACAAGUUGAUGACCUGUUAUACACACCCACCUAAUUUAAUAUUAUUCUCAUCAGGCAAACCUUUUUUGCCACAGAAAUAGGUCAAAGAGAAAAUGCGCACAAAGGGCAGCAUCACGGCAGUUAACCACGCUACACUGCUAAUGACAAAUUCACAUUCUUGAGAAUAACACUUUCUAAAAUCUGUGAAAAUGUAUAUAUAUUUCAUUAUCAUCCACCUUAUACAUUCCCAACAAUAAGUCAACUAUUUUAAAGCAUAACAUUUGUUUCGCAUGCCAGCAUUAAAUUAAUAUUUAUCUUUUUUUUCAUCAAGGGACAAAUAUUCUUAUUCCAUACAGAAACAAACCAUUUAUCAAGGGAUUAAUGUUUUAUCAAGGGUGUCUGUCCACUCCCUGGCAAGCAAAAUCAGGAGGAAACUGCGUGUUUACUUUUUUAUAAUCAAUGAAACAUCCUCCAAUGUUAUACAUGUAAUAUACUGUGUAUAUAUAUAUAUAUAUAUAUAUAUAUAUAUAUAUAUAUAUAUAUAUAUGGACAGCCAAGCCAAGCCAUCUGUGGAAAAGUCCUCCGAAAUAAUCGAAUCAACAUUUUCAGCCUUUUUUCAGGCCAGGAAGUUUGAAGCGAGUGUAACUUCCUGGAGACCCUCGCCACACCCGUCACUACCCAGCGCUGCUUUGUUCUCUGCGAACAGGGGAUAUGACCGUGUGUUUGUGUGCAUGUCUGCGUAUGUGUGUGAAUGUGCAACCCUAGCACAGGUCACAUCAGGGUCAGCUGGUCUAUUAUUGAUUUCCCAGCGGAAAGGGAAUGAGAACAGCUCUGCUGUGUUGCUGCCCUGCUUGACUCAGCCAGCUUUGAAUUGACUGGAGCGUGUGUCUGUCAAUACAUACAGUAUAUGCCAGUAAAUAACAAACCCAGUAAAGUGUUUUCAAUAAUAACCACCUUUUGAACAGAUGCUGAUAACGAGGUGUUUAAUGACCGCUGUAAACGACUUAUCAUCUCCUCUCUAAACCAAACAAAGCCUGCAGCACAACAUUUUAACAGCUGAUAUGUGACCACCAUCGGGUCCUCAGAGACAACUCUGCUCCACUUUAUUUUUAAAGCUGUAAAAGGAAUCCGGCAAAAUUAUGUAGGUGGCCAAAGAAUCUGAACUCAGUUUGGUGGGAAAAUCCUUUAUUAUUAUUGUAUCUUGCUCAUCAGUUUUCAGCGUGCGUCUGAAUAGAUCUCACAGGGGGCAGUAAUGCCACAAAGCUGACCUCACAAAGCUAUAAAACAAACAUUCUGUUGUUACAUAUCACAAUUUAAAAGUUAUUUGGGGCCAGUAAGUUUUGGUAUGAUUCUCAAACGUGUAGUUGUAAUUAUCCUUUGGCCUGCUUGUUUGGAAUUACUCAGGGGCUCAUAAAUGUCUUUUAAGACAUCUAUUUCUUAAAUUCCCUGAACAUCUUCUCGUCUACAAAUCUAAAUAAAAUAAUUUAUUGGAUUUAUUUGAAGCUAUUAUAAUGAACUGAAUUAAAGAAAAAAACUCACUGUUUGACAUUUCUGUGAAUUAACACUUCCAUGUCCAUUGACACGUUAAACAGGCAGUGUUUGUCACAGAAGUUUGACCUUCAAACAAAGUCUGACAAAGAUCCCAGUGAGAUUAAGAUGAAACCCAAAACCUUUCUCUACCUUGUCAAAGCUUUGUGUGUUUUACUGAACCUGAGUGUAAACAAAGAGGAUUGGGUUUUUUUGAAAACACCUCUGUAUACAAAAGGAAACAAUGGACUUUUCUUUUCUCUUACAUACAUUUAAAAGCUUAAAUCAUUCUCAGGUCUUUUCAAAUAUAUAUUAUCUUUUGUAGCAUUUGUUAUAAAAGUAUUAUGAUUUAAAAAAAAAUGUGAUGCCAAAGGUGGAAUAAAUACUGUGCACAAAGUAAAUGAUGCAUGUGACACCAUUUGAUGGAAGGAGAUUUGUUUGCUCAUCCAUUACUCAGCAUUUUAUCACUCAGCCGGCUAUCUUCACCCUACUUACAAACACAUACUCUUCUUAUUUACAUACUGUCACCUCUUUGCGUUAAAUAUUUGUCUACACAGAUUAUAACAAUCUUCAGUUUAAAUUCCUAACGCAUUCCUCAUUGACUAUCCUGGUCCUUUUUCCUGGGGCAAUGGAGAAAAGAGGGUCACAGCUUUAUCUACACUCCACACAAGGUAUUUACUGCUUCAAGGAAAUAGGCACAUAAAAAUGCUUUCUUUAAACAGGUAAUUAUUUUUGGAAUAAUAGGCAAGUUACAAAUUCUGAGCUAAGCACUAGAUUAUACAGAGCUUUAUGGAAAUUCUAGAUGAGAAUGGGGGGGAAAACUGCUUAUCUUCAUUAGUGUUCAUGGUGUAUGAAUGUAAAAAUGGCCACAGAUCUGCUGUCAUUUCUGUUGGUUUCAUCAAAAUCCAAUCUGGCUCUGGAGAAUAAAGGCAAAACAAAGGCCUCACAAGGGUGUGGAGGAAUAUUAAUAGACCGUAAUAGACUGGUGGGUAAACACUGAGCAAGCCAUGAUAGAAUGGAUGUGUUUGUGUGUGUGUGUGUGUACGGUGUGGCUUGGCACAGACACAUUCCAGUGGCAGCCUGAAGGGCUGCUAAUCCACUUAGAUGUCAAAGGUCUCCUGAACUCCAGGGCAAGGAUUUGGACUAGAUUUAAUACACACCUUACACACAUGAGUUUUUAUUUCAGUCAUUAUUAGCCUGACUCUAAAGAUUCCAUUUAUCCAUAUUCUCGAGGACAGAUAGAGAGAGAUAGAGAGAGAUAGAGAGAGGGGCCACCGGUCUAGACAUUUGACUGUGUCACCUGGUCUGUCUCUGUGCAUCUGCACUUUAUCUAUCUCAAUUUAUCUGUUUCCCUUUUUUAUCUUUUGCAAUCACUGGACAGUAAUCAAUGAAGAGCACAAAUAUUUUAGGCAUGUCGUUUGGACCAGCACAGCGGCGACUAUCAAACGAUCUCCGACAAACACAGACUUUAGCAGAAGCUGUACCAUCAUCACAGGUCUCUGACCCCGAAAAGUCACGGGGAGUCUGGAGAAAUCUCUCUGCAUAAACUGUAGCAAAGUGAACGGGCUUGUUUUCCCUGUAAUUUAAUUUUUUACCAGCUCAGUGCCAUGCCUCAGUCUAAACUAAUUACACAACGUUGCUAGACGUAGAGUCCAUAGGCCUGACUGGCCUGCAUGCAGUCCAGAUUGGUUGCUUGGUUGAGGUUGACUCUGGGUGUCGCUUGCAUUUUACUCAGUAUAUCUCACUUGAAGUCAAGCCUGUAUCACGUGUAUGUUUGUCGUCCAAGGUUAAAUGGAAAGCAUAUGUACUUUGGAAUGGCUUUGUAAUAAUGACUGUCUGCGAAGUCCUAAAAAUAUUAACAGGUCACAGUCACAGUCACAGUCUGUUCCUAUAAUCUAGUACAUGUGGAAUGAUGUGUGUACAUGGUGGUGGUGCAAAUAUGUCACGUACAAAACAAACAAUCAUGUGUUCGAUCUUUAGAUCAAGGCAAUUUGUUUGAUCAACUCUUUAGUAUAAAAUGGAACACAACAUAAUGGGAAUUUACCAGUAAAACUUAGACCCAGUAGGGGGCAGUAGUGAAAUCUACAGCUGCAGAACUACCAUUAAAACAAAGAGAAGGAAAGAGCAAGUUAGCUGGCAUCUAAAACAGACAAUGACUAGUCUACAAAUCACAAUAAAAAUGUAUGUAUACAAACAGUCAUCAAAAGUAAAAUGCAUAUUUCCUUCUAGAGAAGGAAUAUUCUGUUCUUUACACUUUUUCAACACUGGCACAUGGAGCAAAACGUGUUGUUAUAGUCCUUUACAUCUAUGAGGUCAGACUUCUGCACUUCACCAUGACAAGACUGACAUCCUGCCCACAUGCCUGUCACACAAACGGCCAGAAAACAUGCCUAACCUCUUGUUGACCCAGCUUACCAACUCCCCUCACUUUCCCCACCACAAGAGAAACUUCUCGGGAUGAAGUCAUGAGGAAAACAAGGGCAGGAGCUGGAGCUCUAAAUCAAACUCUGUAAAACAUCAAGAGCACAUAUUUAGUUCAGUCUUGGGAGAACAACUUCUGCCUGUGGAAGCACAUUUCCCACAACAAACGGUGGAGAAGCUCCUCCCAGGACUUUCUCCUCUCCAUCUUUCUCCUGCUUUGUUUUCUUCUCUGUCCGUCUCCAUAAAAAGACAAGUCUUGAGGAGGGCGGACCUCUCUUUCAGUGUUGAUAGUAAAAGUGCCUCUCCCUGACUGCAUCGGGGAAGAAAAAUGAGUUGACAGGCUGUGUUGUCAUGACAAGCCAAAGGUGUUGGUUUUCCUUUUUCCUGCCAAGUGGGAAUGGUGGUCCCUAUGCAAUACCAAGUGUCCUACAUGGUACUGGAGUCAAGAAGCUUAACGUUAAACAACAGUUACUCGAGAAACCAGCAAUUUACCCAGAAAGUUUAAUUUGUGCGAGUAAAGCUGAAACAAUUGUCCCAGCAUUCCUGGUAAUCACACUUCUGUGAACAAAAUGUCCACUUCUGCAAAGUUCGCACUCUGCUUAGGAAAACACGUGAGAUCAGUGUAAAUAAACACGCCGUGCUGAUGACUCAGGAGCCAUAUGGCUAGUUAAUACCGCCCGCCCCCACACACACACAUGCAUGGUUGUUUAUUAAAGUUUCUUGCACUAAGGAUGGAACUUCAGGAGUGUUUUUACUCCAACUCCGUCAACAGAAUUCCUUUUGUGAAACAUAUGACUGUAGGGCUUGCUCCCUUCCUGAGCUGUUUGUACUAGGAGCAGCAGGGGAGUAAAACAAACACGGCUCCAGUGAUAGAUCAAGGUCACACAUCAGCAGGUAAGACAAGGACACAGUUUUAUGAAAACGUUCAGUGUUGAGUUGGGUUAUUAUUUAUUUUUUAUUUUUUAAAAUAAAUGAUGCCACCAUUGCCAAAAGUCAAGAAAUGGAAGGAGAGCUGGUAUUUGCCCCAACAGGUAGCUAUUAUGGGGGCUGCACUGGUCUUUGCCUUUCAGGCGAAAACCACAGCUGUUUGGUCAGUGAUGAGAGACAACUCCCAGGGACAAAAGAAACAAUUUGAGAAAGGAGAAAAAAGGUGUUGAACUCUGACAUGGAUUUCACAGGAAAGAAUGUGUACAAAGGAAAAGCAGAGGCCAAACCCACUUGUCUUAAUUCUCCACACUGUCCUGAGGGCCAAUGGAUGUGCAGAUGGGGAGCGAGGGGGCAGGUGGUGUGUGGAAGUGUGGAUGUGGAAGUCAGAAAAUUCUUGGUAUGGCUCCAGCAGGACUGUAUGGCUUUUCAUCCACACAGCACCUCAUUUAAGACCCGGGCUUUAAGACACUGACAGUCCAGAACUGAGGGAUGGGGGGGGAGGACUUUUGUUGCAUAACCUGUUUUAUAUAACAACAGUACUAAGAACUGGGUUAUGUCCUACUUGUAUUUUUGAAAAAUAUGGGCUUUUAAUUUCUGAAAAGUAUAUUUGGCACCAAGAAAAUAUCUACUAAUUUUAAUUAUUGGAAGAAUGGUCACACACGCAGGUUAGUUUUAUAAUACACCUGUGGCUAUGCUGCAGUUUUAACACUGCUUAGUAUGAGAUGAAGUAUAUUUUACUGUGAUAUUUGUUGUGAUAUUUGUUGUCUCUGCUUACAUGUCCUUGUUAAUGUACUGUAUGUUUAUCUUCUGGUGUCUAAAGAUCUUCUUUGCAUUACUCCAUCUGAUUUCUAGCUCUGUUAGGCUACUUGGAUAAGAGGCAUUCUCAGCUGUGGCAGCACAUGAACGUCUUUGACAAAUGUACAACAGCAGAAAACUAAGCAAAUAAUAUGUUAUUGUACGUAUAUGUGUGUGAAAAAACUGAAAAAAUAAGAUAUAGAACUGUACAAAUCAACGUAUACAUAUCUUGUAGAAAUCUGCGCCAUUUCCUCCUGCUAGCACAUUUAUUAGUCGAAAGUUGCAAAAUUGCAUAAAAAUGCAAAACAGACUGUUUAACUACGAUUCCUUAUUCCUUGAUUGUAAUAAUAGCUAUAAUAAUAUACGACCUAUUCUUUGCACAUUUUUGCAUUUAUUUUUUAAAUAUUUCAAACAGUUAAAAAAAAAUACAAAUUUUCUGUUUGCUGGACAAAUGAAUUCCCAUACCAGCAGGUAUGUGUAUGUGUAUGUGUGUGUGCGUGUGAUUGAGUGUGUUUGUCAUGUCAGCAGCCUACCUCGCUGAGCCUGCAUGUUUUCAUCACCUGCCCCGCUGUGACGUCACCACCAACUG
Cynoglossus semilaevis (tongue sole) is the source of this 10642-nucleotide long non-coding RNA. RefSeq lists it as uncharacterized. The record is from RefSeq and is a predicted model, not a curated record. Lineage: Eukaryota; Metazoa; Chordata; Actinopteri; Pleuronectiformes; Cynoglossidae. The transcript has 3 exons.